RNAcentral lists this ribosomal RNA (698 nucleotides) under uncultured archaeon. RNAcentral's name for it is "bacterial SSU rRNA". It matches the Rfam family "Archaeal small subunit ribosomal RNA", at positions 21 to 728 of the family's 1478-position model. The record is from RNAcentral.
CCCGACUGCUAUCAGAGUGGGACUAAGCCAUGCGAGUCAACAUAGCAAUAUGUGGCAUACGGCUCAGUAACACGUAGUCAACAUGCCCAGGGGACGUGGAUAAGCCCGGGAAACUGAGGAUAAACCGCGAUAGGUCAUCACUUCUGGAAUGGGUAAUGACUUAAAUCUAUAUGGCCCCUGGAUUGGACUGCGGCUGAUCAGGCUGUUGGUGAGGUAAUGGCCCACCAAACCUGUAACCGGUACGGGCUCUGAGAGGAGGAGCCCGGAGAUGGGCACUGAGACAAGGGCCCAGGCCCUAUGGGGCGCAGCAGGCGCGAAACCUCUGCAAUAGGCGAAAGCUUGACAGGGUUACUCUGAGUGAUUUCCGUUAAGGAGAUCUUUUGGCACCUCUAAAAAUGGUGCAGAAUAAGGGGUGGGCAAGUCUGGUGUCAGCCGCCGCGGUAAUACCAGCACCCCGAGUGGUCGGGACGUUUAUUGGGCCUAAAGCAUCUGUAGCCGGUUCUACAAGUCUUCCGUUAAAUCCACCUGCUUAACAGAUGGGCUGCGGAAGAUACUAUAGAGCUAGGAGGCGGGAGAGGCAAGCGGUACUCGAUGGGUAGGGGUAAAAUCCGUUGAUCCAUUGAAGACCACCAGUGGCGAAGGCGGCUUGCCAGAACGCGCUCGACGGUGAGGGAUGAAAGCUGGGGGAGCAAACCGGA